Molecule: long non-coding RNA, 756 nt
Filed under: Physcomitrium patens
Lineage: Eukaryota; Viridiplantae; Streptophyta; Bryopsida; Funariales; Funariaceae
Description: long non-coding RNA (PPAT_LNC012179)
Source: RNAcentral
CCACUGGAGCAGCAGCCUCCUCACCAUUGGCCUCCUCAUCAACAGCGGGGACCUCUUCGACCAGAGCCUCCUCACCCUUCGGGGUGUCCUCCGCUACAGGUGCGGGGGCAGCCUCCUGCUCAACCUCGGCACUCUCGAACACUGCCUCCGGCUCACCCACAACUUCUGGUACCGCCUCAUCGCUCGCAAUCGACAGCUCCACUUCGCCCGACUCCACCUCAGGAGCCGCCUCCUCAGUCACGCUUGCAUUCGAUGCCUCCAGUGCAGAAACCUUCACCAUUGGGGCCUCUGGCUCUCCAGCCUCUGGCACAAUCUCGGCAUCCUUCGAAUCCUCCACCACUGAGAAAGCAGCCUCCACAGCAUUGGCCUCCUCAUCAACAGCGGAGACCUCUUCGACCAGAGCCUCCUCAACCAUCGGGGUCUCCUCCGCUACAGGUGCGGGGGCAGCCUCCUCCUCAACCUCGGCACUCUCGAGCACUGCCUCCGGCUCACCCACAACUUCUGGUACCGCCUCAUCGCUCGCAAUCGGCAGCUCCACUUCGCGCGACUCCACUUCAGGAGCCGCUUCCUCAGUCACGCUUGCAUCGGGUGCCUCCGGUGCAGCAACCUCUGCCACUGGAGCCUCUGGCGCAACCUCGGCAUCCUUUGCCUCCUCCACCACUGGAGCAGCAGCCUCCUCACCAUUGGCCUCCUCAUCAACAGCGGGGACCUCUUCGACCAGAGCCUCCUCACCCUUCGGGGUAUCCUCCGCUACAG